RNAcentral lists this ribosomal RNA (498 nucleotides) under uncultured bacterium. RNAcentral describes it as "partial 16S ribosomal RNA". It matches the Rfam family "Bacterial small subunit ribosomal RNA", at positions 30 to 523 of the family's 1533-position model. The record is from RNAcentral.
AUUGAACGCUGGCGGCAUGCCUUACACAUGCAAGUCGAACGGUAACAGGUCUUCGGAUGCUGACGAGUGGCGAACGGGUGAGUAAUACAUCGGAACGUGCCUAGUAGUGGGGGAUAACUACUCGAAAGAGUGGCUAAUACCGCAUGAAAUCUACGGAUGAAAGCAGGGGAUCGCAAGACCUUGUGCUACUAGAGCGGCCGAUGGCAGAUUAGGUAGUUGGUGGGAUAAAAGCUUACCAAGCCGACGAUCUGUAGCUGGUCUGAGAGGACGAUCAGCCACACUGGGACUGAGAAACGGCCCAGACUCCUACGGGAGGCAGCAGUGGGGAAUUUUGGAAAAUGGGCGCAAGCCUGAUCCAGCAAUGCCGCGUGCAGGAUGAAGGCCUUCGGGUUGUAAACUGCUUUUGUACGGAACGAAAAGCCCCGGGUUAAUACCCUGGGGUCAUGACGGUACCGUAAGAAUAAGCACCGGCUAACUACGUGCCAGCCGCCGCCGUAA